This 231-nucleotide unclassified non-coding RNA is filed under the name Hevea brasiliensis (rubber tree). The record is from RNAcentral. Lineage: Eukaryota; Viridiplantae; Streptophyta; Magnoliopsida; Malpighiales; Euphorbiaceae.
AAAAAAAAUCGAAAUUUACCAAAGCAAAACAAUAACAGUAACAACAGCCUUUCCCAAAGUCCCAAGUUAGUUGGGUAGGCUAUAUAAAUCCUCCAUUCCACCACAUGAAGAUCCAUGUGAAGAGUUUAGGAAAGAAAACUGGCUAAUGAAGAUGUUGAAAACCAACGAAAUCAAAAUUAACCAAAGAAAGUCAUGACAAGAACAACUAUGCGUUAAUCUAAACUAGUUGGA